GUAGAGGUUACGGUAGCAGAGAGUUUGAGCUCUGGUGAAUGAAUAGAAGUGUUGAAUAUGGCUUUAAUUUGGCAUCAGGGGUACUCCUGAGCAGGUGUGUCUGUGAAUCUGUUGAUUCGAAAAUGCAGAAUACCUUCGAAAAGUAAAUGAGUUGUAAUGCAGGUUUUAGAUCAAAUCCACAGUGGGCAUGCAUAUUAGAACGGGAACUGUGGUAGUUUAGACCUCAUUUCAAUGAAAUGGUCAAAAUUUAAAAAAAAAU
This 259-nucleotide long non-coding RNA is filed under the name Mytilus galloprovincialis (Mediterranean mussel). The record is from RNAcentral. Lineage: Eukaryota; Metazoa; Mollusca; Bivalvia; Mytilida; Mytilidae.